This 253-nucleotide ribosomal RNA is filed under the name uncultured bacterium. RNAcentral describes it as "partial 16S ribosomal RNA". It matches the Rfam family "Bacterial small subunit ribosomal RNA", at positions 524 to 776 of the family's 1533-position model. The record is from RNAcentral.
UACGUAGGGUGCAAGCGUUAAUCGGAAUUACUGGGCGUAAAGCGUGCGCAGGCGGUUAUGCAAGACAGAGGUGAAAUCCCCGGGCUCAACCUGGGAACUGCCUUUGUGACUGCAUAGCUAGAGUACGGUAGAGGGGGAUGGAAUUCCGCGUGUAGCAGUGAAAUGCGUAGAUAUGCGGAGGAACACCGAUGGCGAAGGCAGUCCCCUGGACCUGUACUGACGCUCAUGCACGAAAGCGUGGGGAGCAAACAGG